RNAcentral lists this ribosomal RNA (83 nucleotides) under Pleurotus eryngii var. ferulae. Lineage: Eukaryota; Fungi; Basidiomycota; Agaricomycetes; Agaricales; Pleurotaceae. The record is from RNAcentral.
AUCCACGGCCAUAGGACUCUGAAAGCACCGCAUCCCGUCCGAUCUGCGCAGUUAGCCAGAGUGCCGCCCAGUUAGUACCACGG